AGAGUUUGAUCCUGGCUCAGGAUGAACGCUAGCGGCAGGCUUAAUACAUGCAAGUCGAGGGGCAGCAGGUCCGUAGCAAUACGGAUGCUGGCGACCGGCAAACGGGUGCGGAACACGUACACAACCUUCCUUUAAGUGGGGGAUAGCCCGGGGAAACCCGGAUUAAUACCCCUUAACAUAGUGAAGCGGCAUCGCUUUACUAUUAAAGCUCCGGCGCUUAAUGAUGGGUGUGCGGCUGAUUAGGCAGUUGGCGGGGUAACGGCCCACCAAACCUACGAUCAGUAACUGGUGUGAGAGCACGACCAGUCACACGGGCACUGAGACACGGGCCCGACUCCUACGGGAGGCAGCAGUAAGGAAUAUUGGUCAAUGGACGCAAGUCUGAACCAGCCAUGCCGCGUGGAGGAUGAAGGUCCUCUGGAUUGUAAACUUCUUUUAUCUGGGAAGAAAUUCCUGCAUUCUUGCAGGAUUGACGGUACCAGAUGAAUAAGCACCGGCUAACUCCGUGCCAGCAGCCGCGGUAAUACGGAGGGUGCAAGCGUUAUCCGGAUUCACUGGGUUUAAAGGGUGCGUAGGUGGGUAGGUAAGUCCGUGGUGAAAUCCUGCAGCUUACUGCAGACUCCGUGGAUACUAUCUGUCUUGAAUAUCGUGGAGGUUAGCGGAAUAUGUCAUGUAGCGGUGAAAUGCUUAGAUAUGACAUAGAACACCAAUUGCGAAGGCAGCUGGCUACACGAAUAUUGACACUGAUGCACGAAAGCGUGGGGAGCAAACAGGAUUAGAUACCCUAGUAGUCC
This 794-nucleotide ribosomal RNA is filed under the name uncultured bacterium. RNAcentral describes it as "bacterial SSU rRNA". It matches the Rfam family "Bacterial small subunit ribosomal RNA", at positions 8 to 796 of the family's 1533-position model. The record is from RNAcentral.